Molecule: ribosomal RNA, 491 nt
Filed under: uncultured bacterium
Lineage: Bacteria
Description: bacterial SSU rRNA
Rfam family: Bacterial small subunit ribosomal RNA
Source: RNAcentral
AAUCAACGCUGGCGGCGUGCCUCAGACAUGCAAGUCGAACGAUUAAAGCUCUCUUCGGAGAGUGCAUAGAGUGGCGCACGGGUGAGUAACACGUAAGUAAUCUACCCUCGAGUGGGGAAUAACGUCCGGAAACGGACGCUAAUACCGCAUAAUGCAGCGGCACCGCAAGGUGACAGUUGUUAAAGAUUUAUCGCUUGAGGAGGAGCUUGCGGCAGAUUAGCUAGUUGGUAAGGUAAUGGCUUACCAAGGCUACGAUCUGUAACCGGUCUUAGAGGACGGUCGGUCACACUGACACUGAAUAACGGGUCAGACUCCUACGGGAGGCAGCAGUCGGGAAUUUUGGGCAAUGGGCGAAAGCCUGACCCAGCAACGCCGCGUGAAGGAUGAAGUAUUUCGGUAUGUAAACUUCGAAAGAAUAGGAAGAAUAAAUGACGGUACUAUUUAUAAGGUCCGGCUAACUACGUGCCAGCAGCCGCGGUAAUGUAGAUGAU